GACAAGUGUAUUUUGCACUAUUUAUGUUCAACGUUUAAUCAUCCGUUUUAUUUUUAAAAAAUUAUGAUUAGUGUUUUUAUUGUUAUUAUAUGAUAAAACAUGAAUAGUACUUCACGUAUGACUAUAUUUUUAAUAUUUUUAUAAAUAUUUUAAAUAAGACAAACAGGUAAAUGUUAGACAUGAAAAUCCACGAGUUUUUCGUAUC
Molecule: microRNA precursor, 205 nt
Filed under: Oryza brachyantha (malo sina)
Lineage: Eukaryota; Viridiplantae; Streptophyta; Magnoliopsida; Poales; Poaceae
Description: MIR812 microRNA precursor family
Rfam family: MIR812 microRNA precursor family
Source: Rfam by way of RNAcentral